CACAUCGUACAACUGUACGAUGUACACAUUUUUGAGUGCCU
RNAcentral lists this ribosomal RNA (41 nucleotides) under Culex zeteki. RNAcentral's name for it is "partial 5.8S ribosomal RNA". Lineage: Eukaryota; Metazoa; Arthropoda; Insecta; Diptera; Culicidae. The record is from RNAcentral.